This 253-nucleotide ribosomal RNA is filed under the name uncultured bacterium. Its description in RNAcentral is "partial 16S ribosomal RNA". It matches the Rfam family "Bacterial small subunit ribosomal RNA", at positions 524 to 776 of the family's 1533-position model. The record is from RNAcentral.
UACAGAGGGUGCAAGCGUUGUUCGGAAUUAUUGGGCGUAAAGGGCGCGUAGGCGGUGCGGUAAGUCUGCGGUGAAAUCUCCCGGCUCAACUGGGAGGCUGCCGUGGAAACUGCCGUGCUUGAGUGUGGGAGAGGUGAGUGGAAUUCCCGGUGUAGCGGUGAAAUGCGUAGAUAUCUGGAGGAACAUCGGUGGCGAAGGCGGCAUCCUGGACCGGUAUUGACGCUGAGGCGCGAAAGCCAGGGGAGCAAACGGG